Molecule: non-coding RNA, 945 nt
Filed under: Starksia nanodes (dwarf blenny)
Lineage: Eukaryota; Metazoa; Chordata; Actinopteri; Blenniiformes; Labrisomidae
Description: 12S ribosomal RNA
Rfam family: Bacterial small subunit ribosomal RNA
Source: RNAcentral
CAAAGGCUUGGUCCUGACUUUACCAUCAACUUUAACUAAAUUUACACAUGCAAGUAUCUGCAUCCCCGUGAGAAUGCCCAUAGUUCCCCUUCCUGGAACAAGGAGCCGGUAUCAGGCACGCCCCUGCAGCCCACGACACCUUGCUCGGCCACACCCCCAAGGGACCUCAGCAGUGACAAACAUUAAGCAAUAAGUGCAAACUUGACUUAGUUACAGUUAUUAGGGCCGGUAAAACUCGUGCCAGCCACCGCGGUUAUACGAGAGGCCCAAGUUGAUAGACACCCGGCGUAAAGAGUGGUUAAAUUUCCAUUUUACUAAAGUCAAAUGCUCUCAUCACUGUUUAUACGUACCCGAGAGUAAGAAGCCCCUUAACGAAAGUAGCUUUAUUUACAUUGAAGCCACGAAAGCUGUGAAACAAACUGGGAUUAGAUACCCCACUAUGCUCAGCCAUAAACUUAGGCAGUUCUUUACAACCCCUGCCCGCCCGGGAAUUACAAGCAUAAGCUCAAAACCCAAAGGACUUGGCGGUGCUUAAGAUCCGCCUAGAGGAGCCUGUUCUAGAACCGAUAACCCCCGUUAAACCUCACCCCCUCUUGUUAAUUCCGCCUAUAUACCGCCGUCGUCAGCUUGCCCUGUGAAGGCCCCAUAGCAAGCAAAAUCAGCACAUCUUCAAACGUCAGGUCGAGGUGUAGCUUAUGAGGGGGGAAGAAAUGGGCUACAUUCCCUAAUAAAGGGUAAACGAACAACGUACUGAAAUAAACGUUAGAAGGAGGAUUUAGCAGUAAACAGAAAACAGAGAGUUCUGAUGAAAUAAGGCCCUAAAGCACGCACACACCGCCCGUCACUCUCCCCGAGCUACCAAACACAAUAAUUAAUAAACAAAAUAAGCAAAGGGGAGGCAAGUCGUAACACGGUAAGUGUACCGGAAGGUGCACUUGGAAAAAU